CCGUACUAGGUGGGGAGGUAGCGGUGCCCUAUAACUUGCAAUCCGCUAUAGCAAGGCUGAAUUCCCUUUUGAGGUGGGUGACUUUAAGGUCUGCCUUAAGGAAUCAGUGUUGACGUUUAGGUCCUGCGCAACAGAAACCUAUGAACCCUGUCAGAUCCGGAAGGAAGCAGCAGUAAGUAGACCCUUUUGUGUGCCGCGGGAUAGCCUAGAUAGAGCUGUGAACUUAAGUAACGCUUGGAGCCAUUUCAUCGAUUUUGGGUGUACG
Molecule: signal recognition particle RNA, 265 nt
Filed under: pig gut metagenome
Description: Bacterial large signal recognition particle RNA
Rfam family: Bacterial large signal recognition particle RNA
About the family: The signal recognition particle (SRP) is a universally conserved ribonucleoprotein involved in the co-translational targeting of proteins to membranes. Archaeal SRP consists of a 7S RNA and homologues of the eukaryotic SRP19 and SRP54 proteins.
Source: RNAcentral